CUGGGAGGACCAUCUCCUAAGGCUAAAUACUCUCUAGUGACCGAUAGUGAACCAGUACCGUGAGGGAAAGGUGAAAAGCACCCCGGAAGGGGAGUGAAAUAGAACCUGAAACCGUGUGCUUACAAGUAGUCAGAGCCCGUUAAUGGGUGAUGGCGUGCCUUUUGUAGAAUGAACCGGCGAGUUACGAUUUGAUGCAAGGUUAAGCAGUAAAUGUGGAGCCGUAGCGAAAGCGAGUCUGAAUAGGGCGUUUAGUAUUUGGUCGUAGACCCGAAACCAGGUGAUCUACCCUUGGUCAGGUUGAAGUUCAGGUAACACUGAAUGGAGGACCGAACCGACUUACGUUGAAAAGUGAGCGGAUGAACUGAGGGUAGCGGAGAAAUUCCAAUCGAACCUGGAGAUAGCUGGUUCUCUCCGAAAUAGCUUUAGGGCUAGCCUCAAGUGAUGAUUAUUGGAGGUAGAGCACUGUUUGGACGAGGGGCCCCUCUCGGGUUACCGAAUUCAGACAAACUCCGAAUGCCAAUUAAUUUAACUUGGGAGUCAGAACAUGGGUGAUAAGGUCCGUGUUCGAAAGGGAAACAGCCCAGACCACCAGCUAAGGUCCCAAAAUAUAUGUUAAGUGGAAAAGGAUGUGGCGUUGCCCAGACAACUAGGAUGUUGGCUUAGAAGCAGCCAUCAUUUAAAGAGUGCGUAAUAGCUCACUAGUCGAGUGACACUGCGCCGAAAAUGUACCGGGGCUAAACAUAUUACCGAAGCUGUGGAUUGUCCUUUGGACAAUGGUAGGAGAGCGUUCUAAGGGCGUUGAAGCAUGAUCGUAAGGACAUGUGGAGCGCUUAGAAGUGAGAAUGCCGGUGUGAGUAGCGAAAGACGGGUGAGAAUCCCGUCCACCGAUUGACUAAGGUUUCCAGAGGAAGGCUCGUCCGCUCUGGGUUAGUCGGGUCCUAAGCUGAGGCCGACAGGCGUAGGCGAUGGAUAACAGGUUGAUAUUCCUGUACCACCUAUAAUCGUUUUAAUCGAUGGGGGGACGCAGUAGGAUAGGCGAAGCGUGCGAUUGGAUUGCACGUCUAAGCAG
RNAcentral lists this ribosomal RNA (1069 nucleotides) under Staphylococcus aureus. Its description in RNAcentral is "partial 23S ribosomal RNA". It matches the Rfam family "Bacterial large subunit ribosomal RNA", at positions 444 to 1519 of the family's 2925-position model. Lineage: Bacteria; Bacillati; Bacillota; Bacilli; Caryophanales; Staphylococcaceae. The record is from RNAcentral.